UCGUAACAAGGUCUCCGUUGGUGAACCAGCGGAGGGAUCAUUGCUGGAACGCGCCCCAGGCGCACCCAGAAACCCUUUGUGAACUUAUACCUUACUGUUGCCUCGGCGCUGGCCGGUCCUUCGGGGCCCCUCACCCUCGGGUGUUGAGACAGCCCGCCGGCGGCCAACCUAACUCUUGUUUUUACACUGAAACUCUGAGAAUAAAACAUAAAUGAAUCAAAACUUUCAACAACGGAUCUCUUGGUUCUGGCAUCGAUGAAGAACGCAGCGAAAUGCGAUAAGUAAUGUGAAUUGCAGAAUUCAGUGAAUCAUCGAAUCUUUGAACGCACAUUGCGCCCUCUGGUAUUCCGGAGGGCAUGCCUGUUCGAGCGUCAUUUCAACCCUCAAGCCUGGCUUGGUGAUGGGGCACUGCUUUUACCCAAAAGCAGGCCCUGAAAUUCAGUGGCGAGCUCGCCAGGACCCCGAGCGCAGUAGUUAAACCCUCGCUUUGGAAGGCCCUGGCGGUGCCCUGCCGUUAAACCCCCAACUUCUGAAAAUUUGACCUCGGAUCAGGUAGGAAUACCCGCUGAACUUAAGCAUAUCAUA
Molecule: unclassified non-coding RNA, 585 nt
Filed under: leaf metagenome
Description: partial contains small subunit ribosomal RNA, internal transcribed spacer 1, 5.8S ribosomal RNA, internal transcribed spacer 2, and large subunit ribosomal RNA
Rfam family: 5.8S ribosomal RNA (bases 221-374)
Source: RNAcentral